This 253-nucleotide ribosomal RNA is filed under the name uncultured bacterium. RNAcentral's name for it is "partial 16S ribosomal RNA". It matches the Rfam family "Bacterial small subunit ribosomal RNA", at positions 524 to 776 of the family's 1533-position model. The record is from RNAcentral.
GACGUAGGGGGCCAGCGUUGCUCGGAAUUACUGGGUGUAAAGGGUUCGUAGGCGGUGUGGCAAGUCGGGAGUGAAAUCUCUGGGCUCAACCCAGAGUCUGCUUCCGAAACUGCUGUGCUUGAGUGUGGGAGAGGCGCGUGGAAUUGCAGGUGUAGCGGUGAAAUGCGUAGAUACUGGGAGGAACACCGGUGGCGAAGGCGGCUACCUGGACCGGUUCUGACGCUGAUGCGCGAAAGCGUGGGUAGCAAACAGG